This 253-nucleotide ribosomal RNA is filed under the name uncultured bacterium. Its description in RNAcentral is "partial 16S ribosomal RNA". It matches the Rfam family "Bacterial small subunit ribosomal RNA", at positions 524 to 776 of the family's 1533-position model. The record is from RNAcentral.
UACAGAGGGUGCAAGCGUUGUUCGGAAUUACUGGGCGUAAAGCGUGCGCAGGCGGCUUUGCAAGACAGAUGUGAAAUCCCCGGGCUUAACCUGGGAACUGCAUUUGUGACUGCAUGGCUGGAGUGCGGCAGAGGGGGAUGGAAUUCCGCGUGUAGCAGUGAAAUGCGUAGAUAUGCGGAGGAACACCGAUGGCGAAGGCAAUCCCCUGGGCCUGCACUGACGCUCAUGCACGAAAGCGUGGGGAGCAAACAGG